RNAcentral lists this ribosomal RNA (1028 nucleotides) under Macrohilum eucalypti. Its description in RNAcentral is "SSU rRNA". It matches the Rfam family "Eukaryotic small subunit ribosomal RNA", at positions 68 to 1107 of the family's 1831-position model. Lineage: Eukaryota; Fungi; Ascomycota; Sordariomycetes; Diaporthales. The record is from RNAcentral.
AGCACCUAAACGGCGAAACUGCGAAUGGCUCAUUAAAUCAGUUAUCGUAUAUUUGAUAGUACCUACUACAUGGAUAACCGUGGUAAUUCUAGAGCUAAUACAUGCUUAAAAUCCCAACUUCGGAAGGGAUGUAUUUAUUAGAUUAAAAACCAAUGCCCUUCGGGGCUCACUGGUGAUUCAUAAUAACUUCACGAAUCGCAUGGCCUUGCGCCGGCGAUGGUUCAUUCAAAUUUCUGCCCUAUCAACUUUCGACGGCUGGGUCUUGGCCAGCCGUGGUUACAACGGGUAACGGAGGGUUAGGGCUUGACCCCGGAGAAGGAGCCUGAGAAACGGCUACUACAUCCAAGGAAGGCAGCAGGCGCGCAAAUUACCCAAUCCCGACUCGGGGAGGUAGUGACAAUAAAUACUGAUACAGGGCUCUUUUGGGUCUUGUAAUUGGAAUGAGUACAAUUUAAAUCCCUUAACGAGGAACAAUUGGAGGGCAAGUCUGGUGCCAGCAGCCGCGGUAAUUCCAGCUCCAAUAGCGUAUAUUAAAGUUGUUGCAGUUAAAAAGCUCGUAGUUGAACCUUGGGCCUGGCUGGCCGGUCUGCCUCACCGCAUGCACUGGUCCGGCCGGGCCUUUCCCUCUGGGGAGCCGCAUGCCCUUCACUGGGUGUGUCGGGGAACCAGGACUUUUACUGUGAAAAAAUUAGAGUGUUCAAAGCAGGCCUAUGCUCGAAUACAUUAGCAUGGAAUAAUAGAAUAGGACGUUGCGGUUCUAUUUUGUUGGUUUCUAGGACCGCCGUAAUGAUUAAUAGGGACAGUCGGGGGCAUCAGUAUUCAAUCGUCAGAGGUGAAAUUCUUGGAUCGAUUGAAGACUAACUACUGCGAAAGCAUUUGCCAAGGAUGUUUUCAUUAAUCAGGAACGAAAGUUAGGGGAUCGAAAACGAUCAGAUACCGUUGUAGUCUUAACCAUAAACUAUGCCGACUAGGGAUCGGGCGAUGUUAUUUCUUGACUCGCUCGGCACCUUACACGAAAGUAAAGUUUU